Molecule: transfer RNA, 67 nt
Filed under: Pachydactylus scutatus (large-scaled gecko)
Lineage: Eukaryota; Metazoa; Chordata; Lepidosauria; Squamata; Gekkonidae
Description: tRNA-Trp
Rfam family: tRNA
About the family: Transfer RNA (tRNA) molecules are approximately 80 nucleotides in length. Their secondary structure includes four short double-helical elements and three loops (D, anti-codon, and T loops). Further hydrogen bonds mediate the characteristic L-shaped molecular structure. tRNAs have two regions of fundamental functional importance: the anti-codon, which is responsible for specific mRNA codon recognition, and the 3' end, to which the tRNAs corresponding amino acid is attached (by aminoacyl-tRNA synthetases). tRNAs cope with the degeneracy of the genetic code in two manners: having more than one tRNA (with a specific anti-codon) for a particular amino acid; and 'wobble' base-pairing, i.e. permitting non-standard base-pairing at the 3rd anti-codon position.
Source: RNAcentral
GAAGUUUAAGUUAAUAAUAAACUGAAGGCCUUCAAAGCCCUAAAUAGGGGUUAACCUCUAGCUUCUG